GACGAACGCUGGCGGCGUGCCUAACACAUGCAAGUCGAACGGAGAUUGCAUUUAUGCAGUCUUAGUGGCGAACGGGUGAGUAACGCGUAGACAACCUACCUUCUAGCUGGGGACAACACUGCGAAAGUGGUGCUAAUACCGAAUGUUGUAUUUUGAAUGCAUAUUUAAGAUACUAAAGGUGGCCUCUAUUUAUAAGCUAUCACUAGAAGAUGGGUCUGCGUCUGAUUAGCUAGUUGGUGAGGUAAUGGCUCACCAAGGCGACGAUCAGUAGCCGGUCUGAGAGGAUGAACGGCCACACUGGGACUGAGACACGGCCCAGACUCCUACGGGAGGCAGCAGUGGGGAAUCUUCCGCAAUGGACGAAAGUCUGACGGAGCAACGCCGCGUGAGUGAAGAAGGUUUUCGGAUCGUAAAACUCUGUUUUCAGGGACGAAUGUGCUAUUUGCUAAUACCAAGUAGUAAUGACGGUACCUGAGUAGAAAGCCACGGCUAACUACGUGCCAGCCGCCGCAGUAACAC
RNAcentral lists this ribosomal RNA (519 nucleotides) under uncultured bacterium. RNAcentral describes it as "bacterial SSU rRNA". It matches the Rfam family "Bacterial small subunit ribosomal RNA", at positions 28 to 526 of the family's 1533-position model. The record is from RNAcentral.